This 496-nucleotide ribosomal RNA is filed under the name uncultured bacterium. RNAcentral describes it as "partial 16S ribosomal RNA". It matches the Rfam family "Bacterial small subunit ribosomal RNA", at positions 29 to 507 of the family's 1533-position model. The record is from RNAcentral.
AUGAACGCUGGCGGCGUGCCUAAUACAUGCCAGUCGAGCGAACGGACGAGAAGCUUGCUUCUCUGAUGUUAGCGGCGGACGGGUGAGUAACACGUGGAUAACCUACCUAUAAGACUGGGAUAACUUCGGGAAACCGGAGCUAAUACCGGAUAAUAUUUUGAACCGCAUGGUUCAAAAGUGAAAGACGGUCUUGCUGUCACUUAUAGAUGGAUCCGCGCUGCACUAGCUAGUUGGUAAGGUAACGGCUUACCAAGGCAACGAUGCAUAGCCGACCUGAGAGGGUGAUCGGCCACACUGGAACUGAGACACGGUCCAGACUCCUACGGGAGGCAGCAGUAGGGAAUCUUCCGCAAUGGGCGAAAGCCUGACGGAGCAACGCCGCGUGAGUGAUGAAGGUCUUCGGAUCGUAAAACUCUGUUAUUAGGGAAGAACAUAUGUGUAAGUAACUGUGCACAUCUUGACGGUACCUAAUCAGAAAGCCACGGCUAACUACGUG